AGUGGGGGUGACAAUUAUCCCCACUUCAUAGGGUUAUUGAGAGAAUUAAAUGAGAUCAUGCAUGUAAAACCCAGCAAUCACUGGUGGCCAUUAUUGUUAUUGCUGUUAUUAUUAUUAUUUUAAAAAUCUAGUUUGGUAAUAGAAGCUCUUUAAUUCAACAACUUUCCAAAGUAAGAAGAGUGUUUUAUGUUUUUCUAAGCCUCUUCUCUAGGGAGCAAUCAAAAUGAACCAAGGUAUCAUCAAAGAGCUUGUUCCCCAUCGGGAAUGUUCAGAUACAAAGACACAAAUUCUUUAAUCAGUUCUGCUAUCGAUAAACUCAAAAGCAAGAAAUUUGCUUUGUUUAUAGAGGGAGGCAUUCUUUCCAGCAGGAAUCAGUCAGGAACAUGUUACACACUCUCUCUGUUUCCAGUGAACUGCUGCUCGCUGCCUUCCAUCCAGAGAGGGAAGGGCCAAACCCCUGUGCCCUCGUGUGGCAGUUACCACCCCACCCCAACUAGUUCUUGAUUUCACGUGGCCUCAAAUGCCAUCAAAAUCCAUCCCCAUGGUCUCUGGUCUGCAAUAGAGGCCAAUGUCCCUGUUUCAUGUGACAUUUGGGAUGCACUUUGCAAUACCGGGAUGUGGGGGUAUGGUAUUACUGUUCAGCCCUUAGUGCAGCAAGGGGAAUUUUCAUACGUACUUAGAGUUGGAAGGUGUCUAAGAUAGCAUCUAGUCCAAUGGUUCCCAAAUCUGGCUGUGCAUAGGAAUCACCCAGAGGACAUUAAAAAAAUAGAACUUAAAAAAUUAUCUCUGGGCUUCACUUGAGAGAUAAUCAGAAUUGUGGGGUAGAGAAUAGAAAUAAUGGACUUUCACGAAACUCUUGAGGUGAUUCAGUCAAGGCCAACCUGGCCCCAGCAUUUGGAAGUCACUGACAGAUAAGAGCUGAAGCCCAGAGAGGGUGACUGGUCCAUAGUCGUCAGCAGUAGAUCUCCCGGCUUGUUCCACUGCUUCAAGUUUCUUCUCUGAUGAUGUUAGGGCUUUAAAUACUGGAUAUUCCAGCAAAGAGUGACAAAGACACUGCUUGCAGUAGGUUCCAGGGGACCUUUCCAGAGGCACAGCAGGUGGAGUUGUUUUUUAUUUCUUCAAUGUGCAUAAUAGCUUUUCCGUGGAUUAUACGGAUUUGGUAUGCCUCCUUCCAGGGGUUCUGUCUUUUAUGCUUUUUGUUCUGACAUACUUUUUACUUCACUAAAUCAUCCUUCCACAUUUUUAAAUACAGCUUGUCCUUUUUUUCAUUUUUCUAAAAGGAAAACUCUAAAGAACCAUCAACAUCUUACUCCAUCAGAGACCACCCCUUGAAAGGCAGAGGAUUGAGGGGACUGGGGCAGGCCAAAAAGAAAAGUUGCAGGAAAUCACCUUCCCACAGAGGUGAGAGUUUGUGAAGCAGCAGGAGAGGAAGACGUCCCCACUGGAGGAUUAUGCAGCUCCUGGGAUGAAGACACUGUCUGGCUACUGCUGCAGCUCAGAAUGAAUUAGCCGUCUCAGUGGUAGGCUGAAGGUGGAAAAAUGGAGAGGUUAGAAACAUAGGUUUUGAAGUCAAGCAGACCUGGUUUCAGAUUCAAGCUCCAUCUUGCUGAGCCUCAGUUUUCUGUAACUUUGGGGUAAUGAUACCUCAUAGGGUGGUGGUGAGAGUUGGAGAGACUGAUGCCUGGUAAACAGUCUACAAAUGGUGGUGCUAUCAUUAUGGAAGAAUGAUGUUUUGGGGACUCAUGGGGACCUUUUCCUGCUAGUUAUUCUAGAUCUUCUGCAUCAACCCUUCUAAGGGCAGAACUGUGGGCCUGCAUCUCACUUUAGCAGAGUAGGCAGCCUGAUUUGAAUGUAGCUCCAAGGAUCUAAGGCUAGAAAUGUCAUUUUGUUGUCAAAUGAAAGAUGCAUUUUCUCUUGACUUCUAUUUCCCUUUCUGGUCUGCCAAUGAUGGAUCUGAAACAGCACCUUUUAUGUUACACAAAAGAGAUCAAUGCAGGAGAAGCAGGUUUUAUUAGAGAGGGGAGGUCAGUCAGAGGCCUGGGGUGGACAAGCAUAAUCAGUUUUGAGAGGAUGCUGAUGUCAGGCCAGAGAGAGCAAGCCCCAGACAGUGAGGUGUUGGGCAGGCAAUGAGGGUGGGAGAUGACUUUUGCAAAGAAAGCAGGGCAAGUAGGAGCAGAGGAAGAAGAGACGGUAAAGACAGGGCAGCUUUCUGUACUUUAGAAUUCUGCCCAGGCCCACCCAGCUGGUAGACUUAACUUCAAGUUUUGAAUUCCUUACCUAAUUAUGGUCCACUUGGGCAGGAUGAUCCUCUUCAUGCUCGAGCUUUCUCAUCUCUAAAAUGGGCAAAACCCAAGGCCUCCCUCAUAAAUUGAUUGGAUAAAGUAAGCCAAUAGAUCAAGAGCAAAUGUAUGAGUCUUUACUGUGUUCCUUGAAGGGCAUAUUAUGACACUCUUGUGGGAACAUUUCCUCAUUUGUGGCGCUUUAGAAAGGGCCUUCUGUAACCCUGGAAAGGACUCAGGAAGGUCUGCAAGAGCGAAACUACAUCAGCCCAACUUGCAAACAUUUUAAAUUUUGCCCUCGGUGAUUGCGUCUGAAUUAGGUGAGUUGUACUAAUAGAAAUGCUGAAUUCUGUGUGCUUUCUUCAUCCCUCAAAGACAAUGCCCAGAUGUUAUCUAUAUCCCAAAUCCAUUAUUUGCUGAAGGCUUCUAAGUUUUUUGAUAUAGUUGUCACUUAAUAUGUUAACAAGGAAAUUUCUAGAUUCAGGUCAUUUCUUCUCUCAGAGCCCUGGUUUGCUGUGUAAAAGAAGGUUAUAUGAGCAACAACUAAGGCUUCUUAUUGUGGUAAUAUCCUACAUCUCGAGAUGCAGUGACCCCAGACUGUCCUUAGUUGGGAUUAACACAGGGCGCUCAGUCAACUGCACACACAGGUGAAAGUAGGCUAAAAUGCACGUCAAACACUCCCUCAAAGGGGAAGAAAUAAUCUAUUCACUCUUUUCAUCUUUCAUUCAAAAAACACAUAUUGAGCGCCCAAAGUGCAUGAAGGAAUUGUGAAGAAAAGAAACAAUUCUCAAGGAGUCCCAAUGGAAGGGGUGGGGGCAGGCCAUAGAGCAGUGCUGGGAGAAAGAGAGAUCAAAAGGUGGUUGAGAUCACAACCAUAUGCCCUCUGACUGAUCUCAUUUCAAAAAUCCUGCCCAGUUUCUCCAUAGGCACCCCUAAUUUUUCAGGCUAUGUGCCGUUAUUUUGAGUUCCAAAAACUAUGAUCCGAGAAGCUGAUCAUAUUUGAUCAGGGUAAGAGAGAAUCAUGAAAAAGCACCCCUUCCCCACUCCCCUACAAACUGGAGUGGUGAAUGGAGAAGGUAGGGAAGAGAAAAGGGCUGAAGUGGCCCAGUUUGCCUUGAUGGUCCUGGCAGUGGGUCCAGCUCAUGUUACAUCUGUGUGAGAGCUACGAGGUCAUUAAAGAUACUAGCUCUUCCCCAAAUCUCUCCCAGAGUUUGGGAGGAGAUGGGUGGAGAGAGGACAGAGGUAAUGAAACUCAAACUCAGAACCUGAGACCCAGCACUGCCUGUGGUUCUUUUCUUUAAAUCUCAUUCUCUAGAUUAUAUAAUGUAUCCACCCACCAGUCUGAUGAUGAAGGAAGGAGAGGUUAUUAUUUCUCAUAUUUCAUACACAGGAAUAUUAAAGAUUCCAAAGCUUAAGUAAGAUUCCCAAGGUCAUAUGGUAAGCUGGUAGCGGAGACAGGGAAUGGAUUCAGGUUUCUGGUCCUUCCAGUUUUGUUGCCUCAGCAGUCGAUUUUGCUGUCUCUUUAAAUCCCACAGUUAGGAUUAAGGGCUGCAGUUGUGAAUUGGUUCCACCUUAACUUUCUUCAUUAAUUACACACAGACACACAAACAGCGGGUAACCCUUGCUUUCCUAAUCUUCUGCUGCCUAACUACUUCAUAACUUUUUUGAGCAAGGCCUAAAAGAUUGUGGAAUUUUCCCCUAAGACAUAUGAAUAUCUCUUGGUCUUUCAGCUAUUGGUAUUCUGCAACAGCUGCCCGAUGGAGCCAGGGGAGCGCCAAGGACGGACCGGAGCUCCAGCUGCUGGGAAAGAAUGAAAUUAAUUGGGUCAUUUUAUCACAUCACAGUGUCUAUAGUCAAGGCUGGCUGAUUUGAUCUCCACUUUCAACCUGAGGCAGAGCCAAACACAGGCCAAUGAAGCUGUCCAUCUGUGAUUGGGAGCCAGGGAAAAUCAAGCAGGCAGGCAUCGGAAGAAUGUGGCUUACCUGCUGAGUAGAUCAAGACCUUGGACCUCUUUUAAUUUCUUGCAUGAGAGUGGCCUAUUUAGGUUUUUGCUUCUUUUUGAAUAAAUUUUGAUAUUUUA
Molecule: long non-coding RNA, 4359 nt
Organism: Choloepus didactylus (southern two-toed sloth)
Lineage: Eukaryota; Metazoa; Chordata; Mammalia; Pilosa; Megalonychidae
Exons: 2
Source: RefSeq, a predicted model, not a curated record